This 999-nucleotide ribosomal RNA is filed under the name Triticum aestivum (bread wheat). RNAcentral's name for it is "partial small subunit ribosomal RNA". Lineage: Eukaryota; Viridiplantae; Streptophyta; Magnoliopsida; Poales; Poaceae. The record is from RNAcentral.
AUGGUGGCCGACCACCAGUCCUCCCCGCGGCCGCGGUUCACCAUCGGCUACGCGCUGCCGCCCGGCAAGGCGGGCAGCGUCAUCCAGCCGCCGCUCGAGGCCCUCGCGGCGGAGCGCGGCAUGCGCCUCGUCGCCGUCGACGCCUCGCUGCCCCUGGCCGACCAGGGCCCCUUCGACCUCAUCAUCCACAAGCUCUUCGACCGGCCCUGGCGCGCGCAGCUGGAGGCCUUCUCCGCGCUCCACCCCUCCGUGCCCGUCGUCGACGCCCCCGCCGCCGUCGACCGCCUGCUCGACCGCUUCACCAUGCUCGACGUCGUCCCCGGGCUCGCCGCCGGCCUGGACUUCCCGCUCAGCGUCCCCGCGCAGGUCACCGUGAGCGACGCCGCCGCGCUGGCCGCGGACGACCCGUCCCACGGCCUCCGCUUCCCGCUCAUCGCCAAGCCGCUGGCCGUCGACGGCAGCGCCAGCUCCCACGACCUGUGCCUGGUGUACCGCGCCGAGGGCCUCCGCGGCCUCCACACCCCCGUCGUCCUCCAGGAGUUCGUCAACCACGGCGGCGUGCUCUUCAAGGUCUACGUGGUGGGCGGCCGCGCCGUCUGCGUCCGCCGCAGCAGCCUGCCGGACGUGCCCGCGGAGCGCCUCGCGGACCCCGACGCCGACGCCUCCGUCCCCUUCGCCAACAUCUCCAGCCGCCCCGCGCUGGACAAGGGGGAGGACUCGAUGCCGCCCGCCGCGUUCGUGGACCAGGUCGCGCGCGGGCUCCGGCAGGCGCUGGGGCUGCACCUCCUCAACUUCGACAUGUUCGCGGCGACGGAGCUGGACGACGGCGGCCGGCGGAGGUACUUCCUCGUGGACAUCAACUACUUCCCGGGGUUCGCCAAGAUGCCGGGCUACGAGACUGCUCUCACGGAUUUCUUCGCCGAGAUGAUUCAGCUAGGCACUGCAGGCGCCGCCGCCGGCCAAGAGAAGCUCGAAUAUGUGCCCUGCAAUGAGCUCUAG